This 321-nucleotide ribosomal RNA is filed under the name uncultured eukaryote. RNAcentral describes it as "partial 18S ribosomal RNA". It matches the Rfam family "Eukaryotic small subunit ribosomal RNA", at positions 1470 to 1796 of the family's 1831-position model. The record is from RNAcentral.
CCCUUAGACGUUCUGGGCCGCACGCGCGCUACACUGACCAGUGCAACAAGCAUCCGUCCUUGGCCGACAGGCUCGGGCAAUCUUUGAACGCUGGUCGUGAUGGGGAUAGACUUUUGCAAUUUUUGGUCUUCAACGAGGAAUUCCUAGUAAACGCAAGUCAUCAACUUGCAUUGAUUACGUCCCUGCCCUUUGUACACACCGCCCGUCGCACCUACCGAUUGAAUGGUCCGGUGAAAUCUCGGGACGGCGGCUUGGUCGCUUGCGUCCGACUGCUGAAACUUGAUUAAACCAUAUCAUUUAGAGGAAGGUGAANUCGUAACA